RNAcentral lists this ribosomal RNA (229 nucleotides) under uncultured bacterium. RNAcentral describes it as "partial 16S ribosomal RNA". It matches the Rfam family "Bacterial small subunit ribosomal RNA", at positions 568 to 796 of the family's 1533-position model. The record is from RNAcentral.
UCCGUAGGCGGGCAAUUAAGUCAGAGGUGAAAGUUUGCGGCUCAACCGUAAAAUUGCCUUUGAAACUGGUUGUCUUGAAUUAGUAUGAAGUGGUUAGAAUGAGUAGUGUAGCGGUGAAAUGCAUAGAUAUUACUCAGAAUACCGAUUGCGAAGGCAGAUCACUAAUACUAUAUUGACGCUGAUGGACGAAAGCGUGGGGAGCGAACAGGAUUAGAUACCCUGGUAGUCC